AACUGAAGAGGAGGACAGCUGUAAGUACUAAAGCUCUAUUCUGUUUCUUUCAAGCUCAAAGCUUCUUUACUGCUUCUGACCUAACCUUCCUGGUCUUGAGAUAAUACCCCUCAACACACCAUUAGAAAAGGGAAUGAACUUUUGGUGCCUAUCAGGCUAAAAUAUUUUUUAUAAAGAAAUCAGCAUAUUGAACAAAUGGAGAAUUUCUCAUUUUGCAAACAUAAGUUUUUCUUUUAAUUGAAAGGUAUUUUAAAAUCUAUUCUUGGGCUGGGGUUGUGACUCAGUGGUAGAGAACUUGCCUAGCAUGUAUGAGGCACUGGGUUUAAUUCUCAGCGCGAUAGAUAGAUAGAUAGAUAGAUAGAUAGAUAGAUAGAUAGAUAAAAUAAAGUCCAUCAACAACUACAAAAUAAUUUUUUAAAUCUAUUCUUAUAACAAUUCUAGAGGGAGUAUACAAGGGAGAGUGGGAAUGUAAGUGAAUUUUAAUGUGGUUAAUUUGACUGUCUUCUGUUUAAUAAACCACUUAUUAGAUAUUAAUAACUCGUUAGUUUCACCCAGGACUACAAUUCUCAACAAUCAACAAUUUUCAAUAGUUACUAAAAUUCUUAGGAGAACUGACUUCAGAUUAAUUUAGAGAAUUAUCUCUGGGAAUUCUAAUGUUCAAAUAUCCUUUUCAUUUCUACAAUUUGAUACAAAUGACUAGAACUUUAUGUCAGAAUCUCAUCACUGAACCUGAUUGCUUAAUCCAGAGUUAAGGUAGUAGUCUGCUCACACAAGCCUCAUAGUGGCUCCACCACUGUUCUCUCCUCUUCCAAACAUGGUAAGUGGUAAGUAACCCUAAGGAUUUGAAUUAGAAGGACAUGAGAAAGGUAUUUCUAGGCUCUCUGAGUCCUAUCAUGGGGAAUUGCUAAUGCAGCCAUAUUCAUUCUGAGGAAAAAUCAGAAUUGGGAGUGGGAAAGGUAGUGGGGUGGGAAGAUGAGAAUCCACUUCUUUCUUUUUUUGGUAUUUUUAAUUUUUUAUUGUGGGUUGUUCAAAACAUUACAAAUUUCUUGACAUAUCAUAUUCCACACUUUGAUUCAAGUGGGUUAUGAACUCCCACCUUCACCCCAUACACAGAUUGCAUUUGAGGAGAAACAUCCAAAGAGAAUUUACUUCUUCUUCACUUUCCAAUCAUACUGAAAGGAAGAGGGAGUAUGAGAUUAUUAACUUAUGGGAGGCAAUUUUCAAUCAUUCUCAGGUAGGAUUUUUAUACUGUACAUAGUUUAUAAUAUUUUGUGUGCAAAAGGAAAUGAUGUUCCUUUCAUUAAAUAAGCACUUGUAAAAUUAUCCUUGAUAUAAUAUGUGUUACCUAAAAUCUUAGGAAAUUUUAAGAUGGGUAACAAUCUCUUACCUCUAAGCACUUGCCAUUUAGUGGGAAAAGCAAACCUGUGAACAAAUAGAUAUAAUAAAACUCCCGAUGGUAGGGAAAGAAAGGAAAGAUACCAAGAUUUUUUUUUCCAUAAGUGAGGAACACUCUUGAACUUCAUCUUGAAAGAGAGUUAUAUGUUCGGUAGUGAUGUAUGAAUAAGGUUGCCCAGGAAAAUGGUGGAAAAGCACUUAGGUACAUCACAGAGAAAAUAAUGUGAACAAAUUGUAUCCUGUGCUAGAUGUGGACACCAGAGAAAAUUAGAAAGCAAACAUGGAUGGGAUAAUAGAAAAGCAAUUAUGAAAGAUUAAGGAAUUUGAACUUUGCUUCAUAUAGUACAAUGGCAAAUCUAUCAGCAUGGAUAAGAGACUGGGAAGGAGAAAUAUUAAGAAAAGGAAAACUUCUUAAGACAUAAUUAAAUUGAUUGAGAUGUGAGAUGAUGAUGAUCUGAACUAAAACAAAUAUUGAAGAUGGAGAGGAACUACAUGAUGAUACAAAUGACACAAGCUAAGAUGAUGUGAUUGGUAGAGUACAGGACUAUGGUACGGGAAAAGAAGGAGAGUGGUAGAUUCUUAGAUGGGUGUCUGGUGUGAAUGAAUGGGUAGAUGGAAAUGUCACUUGCAGGAAGUUGAGUGGGGAUAAGAUAAUUAGUUCUACGUGGGCAGGUUGUAUUUGCAGUGCCUAAGAGAAGCCAUCUAGUUUGCUUAAAGAUUAGAAAGAGUAAAAGAUACAUGGAUUUCAAAAUAUAUGGGCUCCACAAACUAUGUUAAGUUCAUUAAGAUUUUAUUCUUCAGUGUCUAUAUACCAAAUCCUAAGAGAAGGAAAAGUAUGCAGGUCAGUGUUCAGCGAGAAAUUGAGCUUUCCCUGGACUAUAAUGUUUAACUACAUUUCACAAUGAUGUGGUUCAUUUCUUUGGAAAACGAUUACUGACUCACCAUGUUCCCCCCAUACAGAUAAUCAGCAUCUCUCCAGAAUUCCUGAACAGCACCUCUCAAAAGGGAUCCCAGAAAUUCCAGUUGCACAAGAUAUAUUCCCCCACCAAAAAAAAAAAAAAGUUCCAAAGCCAAGUAAGAUUGAUGCUAAAAAUUUAGAAGGUUCAUUUAUUUCAUUUAUUUAUAUACAUUUGUGAGAGUAGUGCAUUAAAGAAAUCUUCCAGGGGCUGGGGUUAUGGCUCAGCGGUAGAAUGCUCACCUAGCAUGUGUGAGACACUGGGUUCAAUUGUCAGCACCACAAAAAAAAAAAUAAAUAAAAUAAUGGAAUUGUGUCCAACUACGACUAAAAAUAUAUAUAUAUUUUAAAAAGGACAGAAGAAGUCUUCCAGCUGGGACUGGUGGAACAUACCUGUAAUCCCAGAGACUCUGGAGGCUGAAGCAGGGGGAUCAUAAGUUCAAAGCCAGCCUCAGCAAUUUAGCAAGGUCCUAAGUAACUUGUGAGACCUUGUCUCAAAAUAAAAAAAUAAAAAGGGAUGGAAUGUUGCUCAUUGGUUAAGCAACCCUGGGUUCAAUCCCUGGUACUAAAAUUUAAAAAAAGUUAAACUAUUUUCUAAUUCAGUUUUGUUUUAACUGUUCGUUAUUACUUUAGGUGAGGCAGAGGAGUAGGAUAGACACAGAUAAAAGAGAGAAACCAGAAGGAGUUUCAUGGUUUUAUUAUACCUACAGUUACCUGGAGAGAACACAGAUAGGGCCACCCAGGGGGAGCAGCAAGGUCAGCCCCGACUCAGAGAGUGAGAGUGGAACUUUUAUCUUGGUUCCUGCACGAAGGGAUGGACACAGCAUGGUAGGCAGAUGAAGGAUCCACCAACUGUUUUUGAAAGUGGUGGCCCUGUGAAAUUCAUGUUCCCUGUGACUAUUAAAGCAUAGAGUUUAGAGCUGUCUAAAGUCUCCAGAUGAUUUAGAGCAAGCCAGGUAUACUUGGAAAUAGUAGUUAUCUUUUGGUAGAUGUUACAGCUUCAAUUUACAGAAAUUAAAAGCCUGGUGAAUACAAGUCUCCCCAGUAUUUAAACACAGAGCCCUUUCAUUAAAAAUCUUAAUAUUCCACAAAAUUAGAAUUCCUGGGAAUGCAUCUUAGAGGAUUUUUCCCUGGGUCAAAUUUUAGCCCAAACCAUGUAAAUCCAGGGAGAUAAGACACCAUCAUUUUAUUUUGUAAUAUCAACUUUAUUGCUCAAGUACCUAAGAAACUUUGCAAAAAUUUCCAAAAAAUAAUGUGUAUGUCUUUUUACAUAUUUUGGCAACAAUCGCUUAUCUCUCUUUACUAAUCAGAAACAACAACAACAACAAAAAAAAAAAAAAACUUCACAUAGACAAGUUUUCCAAUGUUAGUCUUACUGAUUUGCAGGCAAGAUAUAAAGUCAUUGUGUUGUUUGUUUGUUAAUUUUUAUAUCCAAGUAGAGUAACACACAUUUUCAAUGUUCAUGGGACUAGUGAACAACCUGGAAGAGAUGCUCAAUUAGGGCUGUUCUAUGUCCUCUAACUUUCGAUGACUAAUAGUAUGUUAAUUGACUUGUAGUCAUUCAUAAAGGGACAGACAAUCAGGAGUAUUUGUUGAGUACCCUGCUUUAGGCUAUAUUUACCAUAUAUUGUUCUGGUCAAGUUCUCUAUUCUGUGUUCACCUCCAGACAUUGCCUAGACAUCUGACUUCUGAUGCUCUAAAAAAGUUUGAAAUUUCUUUCUAACUUUUGGUAGUUACACUACCUUGACCCAUAAAAUUCUUAAUGAAAGUAAAAAAAUAGAAUAGCAACUCCUGCAGUAUGAGAGAUGUUUCAUAUAUGUGUAAAUGCUCAGGGACCUUAUUCUCUGUGUCUAUUCUUAUCUGCUGUGCUUUUGCAAUGAGGCAUCCUGAUAGGAGUGUACUGGCAAGAGUAGGUGCCAGCUACCUGCUCUCUAAAGGAGUUAAGUUUCCCUUCCUAAGCACCUCAUGAGGAGCAGAGGGUAGCUUGGGUUCUGUGCCUUUUGCUGAGAGUGGGCUGCAGAGAUAAGGGCCAGUUAUGACAGCUGUAUGAAUAAUAGCCUUGAAGCCAGUCUGAGGCUAACCUGCUUUGUCCUUAGUUCUGAUAUCCAGGCUCACAGCAGAAAAUGCACCCAGGAAGACUCAGAGAAAGAGAAAACUUCAAGGAGCCAUGGAGCAAAGAUUCAAGUUUAGACUUGAAAUAGCAAUAAAUCACUGUUGAAAUAGGAAGAGUUAGACCACAGACACACAGAUGCCUGAGAAUACUUACUUCUCCUUUUAAACAGUGUCUCAUUUAAUUUCCUAGAUCCCAGUUUAAUUUCUGUUUAUGUAGAUACUAUAUUAGUCCACAUCGGCUACUAUAAUAAAAUACCGUGAACAGGAUGGCUAAUAAACAAAAGAAACUUUUUGCUCACAGUUCUGGAGACUGAAGUCCAAGAUCAAGGUGCCUGCACAUUUGGUGGGGUCUGGUGAGGUCUUGUUUUCUGGAUCACAGAUCACACUUCCUUGGCAUAUGCUCACAUUUUGGAAGGGGAGCUCUCUGGGACCUCUUUUCUGAGGACACUAAACCUAUUCAUGAGCCCUUAUGACCUAAUCACCUCCCAAAGCACCAUCACAUUCCUGAUUAGGUUUCAACAUAUGAAUUUUAGGGAAAUGCAAACAUUUAGUAGACACUUUAAGGUAAUUUCUUUUUUCCCAUGAAAAGGACUAGACCUUGACAUUUUCAUCUUUGACCCUUUAGUUAUCUAAACUAGAGCUGCAGCCUGGCAAGCUAGUUGAGUGUGCAAAAUCACGGAACACCACUGCCAUCUGCUGUGCCUGCCAGAAUACCACACCCACCCUCACAGCACAGAUUCCAAAUAGAAAGAUAGGGAUAGCACCUCCACCACUGCCUGGCUAGUGAUCAGUAGAGCUGCCAUAACAGCACACUCCAGUCUGAGGAAUUUGAACAACAGCAACUCAGUUUUCUUUCAGCUCUGGAAGCUGAAAUUUCAAGAUCAAGGUCUUGGCAGGUUUGCUUUUCCUGAGUCUCUUUCCUGGGCUUGUAGACUGCAUUCUCUCACUGCCGGUGUCCUCACAUGGUCUUUUUCUGUGUGUCUCUUCCUUAUCUUAUAAGGACUUCAAUCCUAUUGGAAUGGAGUCCUAGCCUUGUGAACUUAUGUAAUUUUAAUCACCUCUCCAAAGUUGUUUCAAUCUUUAAAUAUAGUCUUACCAGAAACUAGGUCUUCAAUUUAUGAAUUGAGGCAGGGGAUACAUACUGCAGUUCAUAAAACCACAUCCAAGCACAUAGCCCACCCCCCACAUGCAUACCAUGUGCUUCCUGGACAUUUGAAAAUAUCUAUAGAGCUAGCCUCCCCUUGCUGAUGUAUCAAAUGCCAAUGGGUCAGGGCUUCAGAGCUGUAAUGCUGUCUCAGUGCCUGCAUGCCCACUGCCCACUGAGAAUACUUACUUACAGGAGCCCCCAGCUAACACCUCCUGCUAUGGGUGCUCUUCCUUCAGAUGAGUAGUUAUUCACCAGAAAGAGACCCCCUGCUCUGGCAGGGGUGCCGUAACCAGGGAACCUUAUUUGAGCAGGGCAACCCUGCAACACACUUUUAUAUAUUUGUUCAUGACAAGACAGCAAUCGAUCUUGGGAGGAAAAGCUUACUCCAAGACACCAGGCAGCCAUGCUCUGCUGUGUUUGUGGCAGAGAUCUUCACUGAACCAAUCUGUCACUAGGCGUGAUGAGUUUUCCUUGCAGCUCCCAAUCUUUUCUAUUCCCCUCUACUUAUUCUCUUUUACAGUAUUUGAAAAAAGAAAUUUUCAGAGACUCCUGGUCUGGUAUGUUUUUUUAUCAUAUAUGUAAUUCUUCUGUCUCACUUCAUCCCCAGCUCUUCUGUGUACCAGUGGGAUAUCCACUUCAGUGACAGAAUUGAGAAUUUGUCUUUAUGUUUUGUUAGCAUUGUUAACAAUUAAAAGAAAUCCAUACAGCCAUGGAAAAUGUCCCUAAUUCAUGAAAGAAAAAAAAAAUUCAUUGUCAUAUUAUUUCUCGACUUUUGUUAUGUUUCCUUAACAAAUUUGUUCUUAAUAGUUAAACUCAACGUUGGUCCUCUUGCAAACGAAUUCAGUUUUCUAAGUACAGUCUGUCUUCCAUAUCCAUGGUUGCAACCAACCAGAUAUCAGAAAUAUUUGGCAAAAAUUUUCCAUCUAUGCUGCAUUCCCCAAAUAACACAGAAUAAAAAUCAUUUAUGUAGUAUUUACAUUUUAUUAGAUAUUAUAAGUAAUCUAGAGAUGACAAAGUAUACAGGAGGUUAUUGUAGGUUAUAUACAAAUACUGUCACAUUUUAUCUAAGGAACUUGAGCAUUCAUGGAUUUUGGCAUCCACAGGAGGGUCCUGGAGCCAAUGUUCCAGAGCUACUGAGAGGGGACUGUAAUCACUAUCUUUUCUAAAAAGAUUCAGCAUAUUUGCAAAUGUUACUAACUAUUGAAAUCAUCUAGGAAAAGACAUGAAAUUUCAUUUAAAAAUAUAUACUCAGGGAAUAAUUUUCAAAGAAAUAUUAAAAAAAUGAAUUCCAGAUGUUUAGACUUAGAAUUAGACAUGUACAUGUAACCACAAACCAAGCACAAAUAAAUGAAAACCUGUCCUGGGUUACCUGAAAUCAAGUGGCCUAGGGAUCAAAGUCAAAGGCAAUUUAUAGAAUCUCUCAUUUGGGAAAAAAAAACACAGAAAAUUAUUCACUUCUCUUGGGAUAAGAAUUUUAUGUUACUUUAGUCUGAUUUUUCUUCUGAAACCUGCUGGCCAACACAUCUACUUAUUGAACUAUGUUCUGUAUGUUUUGAUCAUUUCUCCGGUUUCAGAAUCACUAAAUUUGAAUGCUAUUCUUUGAACAGUCACUCACCACUGCCUAUGGAAAGGGUGAACAGGGGAUCAAGGAGAUAUGUACCUCCCUGUAAAAAUAAUCUUUCUUCCUGGUUACAGAGUAAUGUAGGUUUAAUGCAGAAAGUACAGAAAAUAAAGAUAAAACAAGGGGGAGGAAAGAAAAUGAAGAUGACCCAGUUGAGUCCUGAUUCUCAGUUAACACAUUAGCGUAUGUCUCCUGGUUUUGAUUAGCUGCCUUCCUUGUUGCCUCCCUAUUUAUCACCUGUCAUUCCUCCUAUCAGGUUGUUAGGACUACUGCAUUCUGUUUGGUAACCCGAUCUUGCUUUCUGGUAAUUUAUAAAUCACUCUUCAUUCUGCACCAACGUGUUUAUUUCACUUAUUGAGUUUCAUACUAGUCUUAUACUCAAACAACCAAAUGAAAGAGUAAUAUGUAUUGUUUUUAUGUUAUUGUUUUGUAUCUCUUUAAAACAACUAUUUUAGGAAUUUCAAGGUGACUGAGUGAAACAGUUUCAUCCAUAUCCACUAGUUUCCCAUCAAACUCAAACUUGCCGUUUCUUUCCUCAUCUCUGAACAAGAUCACAUAUUGGUCCAGACUUUGAAUGCCACUAACAUCUAGCUACUCUCUGCAGAAACCUAGUGGGAUCACAAUGGAAGGAGAUGUCACCUUUUCCACUCCCCCAUCACAAGGAUUGAAGUUCUGCAUUUAACUUUAUAUCCUUUGGUUCUGCAUAACAUUUCUUCUGAACUAUGAAUUCUUCAGGGUUUAAAAUGAUAGAAAACUAUGGCCUUCUAGUCUGUUUCAAAGCCUUAAUUUUAUAGACCCAUAAAGAUUAAGUCACUUUCCCAAAGUCACUGAGCUUAUUUGUGAAUUUCUGACAUCCCAUAGUAUAUCUGACUCCCUCAGAAUAAAUGAGUAUUAGAGGUGCCAUUAGGAUCCACACCUGCCAUUCGCUGCUGUAUCUUCAGUAUCGGGCACAUCUCAACCUGGAGGAAGACACAGUAAGAUUCUGGGCCACAUGUGAAUUAAUCACUUGGCUCUCCACAAACAUUUCUUGGACUGUAUGGAAACUGACAAGAAAAUGUGACUUCUCCUUAGAUCUCAGCUUAUUCUAAACUAAAUGAACAGCCUAUUAGAACAAAGCACAUUUUUUUCACUUUCUGAAUAAAUGGAAGGAAAGAGGGAGAAAUAUGUGCUGUAGAUGGCUACAUAUGCCUGCUGCCAAUCACAUGCAAGUUUCUAUCAGUGAUAAUGGUGUUCUCUAAAGCGAAACAUCAUCUUUAUAUUGUCUCCAAAAUUAGCUAGCACUGGUCUCUUUUUCAGCCUUCUAUCAAAUUGCUCCCUCUUGUGGUCCCUUAAAACACAUGAGUUCUAUGUCUAAAUUUUUGUCCAUUCAAUUUGAGGGUGGUUCUUCAACAAUCAUUUCUUGUUUUCUCUUUUCUCACAAUAUCUCUUCCAUGAUACUAUAUUGCUUUCACUCACACAAACGCACACAUAAACAUACGCAUGCAUACCAUGUUCAUCUUUAAAUAAAUCUAAUCUUUCCAAGUCAAAAAUAUUAAGUAAAAGAAACUGAUUUAUUCUCUGUUGAUUUAGAAUAAUCAGGGCUUGGCUUCUAAAGCAUUGGUGCCAAGGUGACACUAUUCAGAUAAACCAAGAAGGACCCUUAAAUGGGCUGUAUAAAAGAGGUAUUUUAUGCAGAAAUACCUGUCAGGGUGAACUGAAAUUAUCCUGUAGAUGCGAAAUAUUCACGAUGUUUUGAUCAGCCUCAAUAGAAAAGAAAGAGUCUGUGAUGGAAAGAGAAGCGGUGCCUUUUACAGGAAUGAUUGAUAAAAAAUCUUCCAUUUUGAUCAUUUCACUUCUUCCAAUUGUGCAGACACCACCCACCCGUGGUGGCUGUUCUGUGCUUGUCACCUCACCAACUCCCUCUACACUCACAGAGAUAAUGACACAAGGAAGAAAGUAGCCAAGUUACAGAAAAAUAGGACUUUUUUUUUUAGCACCAAAAUGUUGAUAAACAUGCUCACAAAAUAAAGUCACUGAGAUCUCCUCUCCAAAGAAAAAAAUGCAAACAAGACAAAGGUAUCCCAGGAAACAGAAUGCUCUCUAAAAGCCCUCCAGAUAAGAAACACCCUGAGAAGAUGACAUCAGUCUUUUGAUGAAUGAUGUUGGUUGGUGUGCACUUCAUUACACCCAGGUGGGUUUAGUUUGGGAUUUGGCAUCUAAGAGAAAAGAAAGCUGGGCUUGGCUAUCUCCUUCUUAAUACCUGGAGGACAGAGAAACACAAUCUCCAAAUACUGCCCUCAGGUAGGCGGAAUGAAAACACCUUAGCCUUACAUGCAGGCACUGAAAGGGAGAUUUGUCCACAGCAAGCCAGCGCAAACCCUCAAUCCUGUGUGACAUUUAAAUGAGGUCACUCCAGCAGAGGAUACACAAGAAGGCCUCUGCUAUGAUUGGUUGGCAUCGUGUGGCAGGGAAUGAAAGAGAAACAAACUUAAAACUCACAGGAGGUGUGAUUUGUUUAAAUAAUAGAAAGUAAUUAGGCUGAAGACAAAAAUCAGUGAUGGCAUUUUAUAAUUACGAUUAAUUUAAAGGUUAAUUUCCUUUGGUGCAAAAAUCUUAUUUAAAACAUUUACCAGGAAAGGAAAUUAGGAUGUUACUAUCAAGAGGCAUACAGCACUUCUGGGAAUCCAUGCCUAUUAUCACAUGAAAAUUAGGUUAGGUCCAGAGUAGGGAAUUCAAUUCAUUUUUAUGUAUAAUAGGUGGUAGCCAGACCUCAGAGCCAGCAGGGUUGGCUGGGGCAGGCAGUGUAAAAUUUGCAUUUGUUUGUUUGUUUGUUUAUAGGAUUAAUUGCAAAUGUUCCCAACAAAGGAGCCUAGUUUAUACAUGAACAAUCCUGACACAAGAAGAAAAUUGGAUAUGGAUUGCUGCCUUUGUAACUAAUGAAGUUGAUGUCAAAGGAAUCCCCAAGAGUGGGGCUGCAAAGGGAAGCACCCAGGCCCACAUUCAUACUCCAUCAUCACUGAGUUAAAUUGGAUGGGGGACAGUACUUCUGAGGGCCCCAACCCUGUCAAAUCCUACUCUCCCUUCCCAGUCUGACAUUUUAUUCAAUUACUCUUUUCCCACUGGGAAUUGUCAUGCCUCAGGUUCCAAAUGUCAUAUGCACUCAUUCAUGUGUAUCCAUGCAGGAUUGCUUUCAGGACACCCCUGGCCCCAGGGCUACCAAAAUCUACCGAUGUUCAAGUCCCUUAUAUAAAAUGGCAUAGCAUUUGUGUAUAACCUACACAAUCCUCUAGUAUAUUUUAAAUAAUCUUUAGAAUACUUAUAAUACCUAAUAAAAUGUAAAUGCUAGGUAAAUAGUUGCUGUAUUAUAUUAUUUAGCAAAUAAUGACCUGGAAAAAAAAAAAAACAAAUCUUGGGGGCUGGAGUUGUGGCUCAGUGCUAGAGUGCUCGCCUAUCAUGCAAGAGGCACUGGGUUCGAUCCUCAGCACCACAUAAAAACAAAAUAAUGUGUCCACCUAAAACUAAAGAUACAUAAAUAAAUAAAUAUUUUGAAAAAUCUCUACAUGUUCAGUAUAGACACAACUUUUUCUCCCCAAGUUUUCAGUCCAUGAUUGGUAAUAUCCAUGAAUGUAGAAACUCUUGGAUCUGGAGGACUGACUGUAUACAUAUCUUCUAUGCACAGCUCAACUCCCAGAAAAUUUGCAUAGUAAAAUCAAUGCAUGAUAGUAACAGCCAGAUGGAAAUAACUCCUUUGCACGAUUUUUCCCCAUUCACUAUGUUUUUACAGAUAUGCUCAUUUUAAACAGUUUAUUGCUACCAUUGAUAUGUAAACCAAUCCUAGAAAUACAGAAUUUGCAGAAUCAUAGAUCUAUGAACAAUCUUAGCAAUCUCUUACAUUUUUUGUUGAUGAUCAGGAAACUUGAGUUGUCUUGCAGAAAGUCAAACAACCAUUAGAGGCAGAAGUGGCCUGAAUUAUUAUAAGCCUCCCAAUUAUUAGUAUAUUUUCCUAUUACUUUGCUUGAAUAUCCAGAUAGAUUCUUCCAAUAAAUAUUUAUUGAGCAGCUACUCUGUGGCAGUCAUCAGGGAUGAAGCAGAGAACCAAAUAGAUACACUCUUUGCCUUAAUAAUGACUGUGGUGUAGCACACAAUUCCAAUAGAAAGAGGAAUGAAAAAAAAAACACAGAAAUGCAGACAAAGAAAGUAGGGUACCAUAAGAAUGCACUGCAAGAGAAUCUCAUGUAGUUUAGAAGAAAAGGACAUUCCUUCCUGAGGAAGUGACACUGAAGGACAAGUCAGAAAGAUAUAUAGGUUUUUAAAAAACUAUGCACAUCUUUUUAAGAGAAAACUACGUUUUUACUAUUUGUGCCCAUGUUGACUAGAUGUACACCAUAUUUCACACAAGUACAAUUUUAAAUGUUUUUAAUGAGCUCAAAAUAACAAAUCUGGUUUCAAUCUGCUCAUGUAUCAAUAAAAUGCUAAGAGUAAUCACAGGACAUUCUCGUUCCUGAAACUGCUACUCUUGUUCUACUAAGAUGAUUAUGAUUAAUUUAGGCUCAGGCGUUUUGUGAUUUUUCUACUCUGGAGGCUGAAAAAAUGAUAAAAGAUAAUGUCAGCAAAAAUUACAACGUGAGGAAUACUUCUCUAAUGAGUGAUUAUAGCAUGCAUGUUUAUUUUUUUUAUUUCCCUAAAUAUACAUAUGUUAAUGCAUCCAUGAUCUUAACCAAAACUGCUACAUUUAAAUGGUCUGUGCGUUCUAAAUAUAUCCUGGAUGUCAGCUGAGAAGACAUGCCAAGUUCUGUCUAACUAGCUCACCUAUAACUGUAAUAACUGCUGUUCCCUCCAAUUUUGUCUGAAAGGCAUGUCAUAUAUAAUUGGAAGCAAUUCUACCAGGGUAGAGCAAUACAGAGAAUCCAAUCCAUCCCAGUGGUGUGACACAAAGUGAGCCCAGACAUAUUGAAGGUGAAGUUGACUUAGUUACUUAAUCCUGUUCUGCAUGCUUCUCCACAUUUAUGGAAAGUAUCAAAGAUAUCUGGAUAUGCAAUCUUCCAACUCUUGCUUUACAAUUUCUUCAGCUUCUCAGCUCUACCCCACCUCAUACCACUCACUUCAUCCACCCGCUUCAUUUUCUUCAUUAUGGAAGGUUAUACUGGGAUCACCUUCAGUAUGGUGGUAGAAGGUUUGUCUAAGACCACCUAUUCUUGAAAUUCUCCAACCAGCUGUAGACUCCUAUCUUUUCCAUUCAUUCUUCUGCCUCCUUCCUGAAAGAGGUGUCUUAACCGCUAUUUGGGAGCUUCCUUGCACUAGAAUCCUGGGCUUUCUCAUGCUUCCCAUCUUCCUACCCUUCAUCUGUCCCCAGGGUUGGCAAAAGUGGUGGUACUCCCAUAACCCUACCUCCAUGCUUGGCUUUUCAACAUCCGUGCCUGAGGAGGCUCAGAUUCCAUUUCUCCACUUCUCAUCCUGGGUAGUUUCCCAAUGCUGGAGAGUCACUAUGCCCCGCUGCCUAUGUGUACUUGCUUCACCCAGCUGGAUGCUGGUCCUGCUUAACAGUGCUUUCUACUCUUCAGCCCACAGUGUGCCACACUCUCCAUGGGACCUGUUCCUAACCUUUCCAGCCUUCUUAAACCAAAUACUCAAAUCUGAGAAAGUCAGUGCUAUCAAACAAAAACUCCUUGGAUUUCCCCUCCAGAACUCAAUACUUCUCUACACUGAUGAUUAUUCUUUUGCCUCUUUAAAACUGUGCCCAAAUCUGAGAAGAACAGGUAAGAUUUUCCCCUGCAAAGUAAUUCAUCCACUGAACUUGACCUUCUGCCUGCCUAAUCCAGGAUGCAGGUCUUUCCAUGUCCUUAUUCUCAACCACUCCUUUGGACAGCUUCCUUUGCUUAUAUAUUUGUUAGGCUUCAAGGACCCAAACACCAGAUUGGUCCUGCCUCUCUCAGUCCUUUCUGAUAAUGUACAAGGUGAUUUCCAAAACUAUUUGAAAUAUGGAAAUUCAGUUCUAUGUAUUUGGGUUUUAGUAUAAAAUAAUCUUUCUGGGUUUUUUUUUUGUCUGUUUGUUUGUUUCUUUUUGAUUUUACAUUAGGCCACAUGGGGUAUUUUAUUGCUUGUCAGACUAUAUAGUUAACCAACUGAGUAGUGUCUAAAGGGUCUCCAUAGACCUGCUCAGUUCUCCUCAGCUUCUGUUGAUGGCUUCCUCUCUUACGUUCCUAGUAGUACAGAGUUCUUUUAUUUAAGUUUUUUUUCUCCAUCUAGUCUCCUGGAUAACAUAAUUCUAAUCACAUUAGUAAAUAGCCUAAAUAUACAUUUUAAAGCAUAAUUCCAAUCAACCCUCUUGUAUAAAUCCUUUUUCCAAAAAAGAUGGGACCCUGAAUCUAAACAUAAUGUUUUUUUAAAUAUUUUUUAGUUGUUGUUAGACCUUUAUUUUAUUUAUACAUGGUGCUGAGAAUUGAACUCAGUGCCUCACCCAUGCCAGGCAAGUGCGCUACCACUGAGCCACAACCUCAGCCUCCAUAAUAUGUUUUUUAUUAUUUCUUUUUAUAUACAUAUGACAAUAGAGUGUAAUUUGAUUUAUUAUACAUAUAUGGAGUAUAACUUAUUCUAAUUAGGAUUCCAUUCUUCCAGUUGUACAUGAUGGGGAAUUUCCCUGGUUGUGUAUUUAUAUAUGAGCAUUGAACGUUAUGUCUGAUUCACUCUACUGUUUUUCCUAUUCCCAUCCCUCCUCCCUUCCCUUUAUNAAAUUCCUUUUGUGCAAGUUGAGUAAGUACCAUUAAAAUUCAUACCUGCAGAGGUAAUGGAUAGACACUCUAUUUUCAUAGGCCCACACAAAUUCUUUAACGUCCUUCAAUGAGUUCUAAAUAUUUAGGCUUAGUUUUCUGUGAACUGCCUUUUAAAUUUUUCCCUCGUGUUUUUUUUUCAGCCCUGUCUCUAAAAGAGUGGUGACUAGUGGCUUUGUCAUUAAUAACCAAGGGACAAUUUUAUAUUACAAUACCUCGCUGCCAACAUGUAUUUAAAAAGGCAGCUUUAGGUUUGCUGAAUUCUGUGUUCAUGAUUUAAAGGUUUAAAUAAAACAGAGAUUCACCACAGGGAAUAUAUUUUAUUAAAGAAUAUUUAUCCAUGAAACAUUUUUCUCUUAUUCUAUUAUUUCUAAAUUCUACUAUUACUAACAUGACUAAGUCGUAGCAAUUUAACUGAUAUGGCAUUUUACUAAUUUAAAAUAAUUGGAUUUCCCUGUGCAUACCCAGAUAGCAGAUAGGAAAACUAAGGCUAAGAGAAAACCCUGUAGCCACACUUGCAAAGAAAAUGAUAACAUUCCUGAGUUGUCUUUUGUAGAUGAUUGAUAUGUCUGAUACCUUGAUUGUGGUGAUGGUUUCAUAGGUAUGCAAAUACCAAACUCCUCAAACUGUAUAUAUAAAGUAUGUUUGGAAUGUCAGUAGAGGGGGCAGAGAGAGAAGAGGGGAGGGGAGGGGAGGGGAGGGGGGAUAGUAGAGGAUAGGAAAGGCAACAGAAUACAACAGACACUAGUAUGGCAAUAUGUAAAUCAAUGGAUGUGUAACUGAUGUGAUUCUGCAAUCUGUAUAUGGGGUAAAAAUGGGAGCUCAUAACCCACUUGAAUCAAAUUGUGAAAUAUGAUAUAUCAAGAACUAUGUAAGGUUUUGAACAGCCAACAAUAAAAAAUUAAAAAAAUAAAAUAAAAUAAAUAAAUAAAGUAUGUUUGGAUUUUGUAUACCAACUACACCUCAACAAAGCUAUUUUUUAAAAAUCCUGAGUUGUCUUUGAAGGGUCAAAGAUAAACUCCUCCAAUGAGGCAAUGAUUGAACAAACGCAAGCUCUAUUAUUUUGUCACUCUCUGCCUAGUUGUGAGUCUCUGCUUAGGAUGCCACAAACUAUCCAGAAAGAGAAUCAUGUAUUUCCUACCAAUGAUUAACAUUUGUGAUGCUCUAUGGCAUUCAUUAAUGAAUUACCCUCUCAACCUAGCCAUGUUAAUGCUAAAGCACAUCCUAGCUUCUUUUCUUCCACCGUCCUUGACCAGAAAAGUUGCAGAGGUGGCUUCUUACCAUUGAUAUCCAAAAAGAUUCUUGUGUUUAUCUCAAAGCACCUAACUGACAACUAACACUCCAAAUCUUCUAUGAAAUAUUUUUGCUUUUCUUACAUCAUUCAAGACCUUGUGGAAGAAAGGAUAAAAACACUCAAUCCAAUUUCAUCUGGAAACUUUGCUAGCAUCUUCCAUGCACUGAUUAAGUGCCUUAUUUUCCUUUGCAGCCUAAAGGGUCUAUGGAGUUCAUUCAGUAAAUAUGAAUUGAGUGUCAUCCAUGAGCCAAAUAUUGUUCUGAGUUCCCAGGCUAUUGUCAUAAACAAUAAACAAUAAAGAACAGUAAAUCACAUGCAGCUUACAUCAUAGUGGCAGAGGCAAUCGACAAAUAAAUAGAUUUAUAAUAUGUCAGGUAGAGAUAGGUUGCAAUGAAGCCAAUAAAGCUGAGUGAGAAAACAGAAAUUCAUCUCUAAAAUCUCAGCAAGUCCCCAAUUCACCUUGCACCAAUUACAUUUAUUUUUUCCCUUUUCCUGGACCUUGCUAAUUGGGUGCCACUCAUAACUUAAAAACUGCAUUUCCAAAAGGAAGCCAGACACCAGCUUCUUCCUGACAUUCUUUUUUGUUCUAUUGAAAGAGGCAACAUUACCCUAACAAAAAACCUUCUGAGAAUCAACCUUGACUCUUUCCUUCCCCUCCCCUUCCUCAUGUUCAAACACUAUAUGUUUCAUGUGUUCUACCUCGUUGUCUAUUUAUUUUGCAUUCAUUGACGUCUUUCCUUUCUCAUCCUCCUAAUUCUAACUCAGGACUUCAGCAACUCCCCUUUCACAUUUUCUAUUGAGCAUUGAAGUGUAACACUGACAAUAUGACACAUUGAAAUAAAGAAAACAUCCCUUAUUACUUUGCAAAAACCUCACUAUAAUAAGAGUGGUGCAAGAUGGUGCUGAUAAUACAAACAAUUUUCAGAAGGAAGAACUGCUUAAGUGCUUAUGUGGUGGCUUGCAUCAUUUAUUAGACAAAAGCCAAUGAACUAAGCCUUGAGUUGCACCUGCCUCAUCGCCUUGCGAGACAUAUUGCAGAACUCACAACACAUCAUUGGUAACUGUCACUGGUGGAUACAGCCCAGUGGCAACUGUGUCAGUCACUGUUCACAUCACAAUAUUUCUAGAAUAUUAGAUUGGAGAUGAGGAGGAGACAAAAAGAGCAAAAAUUUCCAGGAACACAAAUAAUGAUGCUGGAGAAUAAAUAAUAAAAGAAGACCCUAUAAUCUGUAGAGAACAUAAAAGAAAUACUCAAAACUAUUGGCAAAUAAUGUGGAAAGAAAAUAAAAUUCUAAAGGUUUUAGAUUUAAUCCAACGUGUGACUUGAAACCUUUGAUCACCUUUGAAAAGGUUCCAGGAAUUUACUAGAAUGGCAAGAGUGAAAGCAGAAUAUACUUGGAAGGAAAGAAAAUACCUGACUUCUAGUCCCAUCUUCUGCUGUUUACUGCCUCCAGCAAUAAACCUGUAUUCAUUUGUAAAAUGAAGAUAAUUAUUCCUACCCACCUGACAGUAAUAUUGUAAAGAUAAAUGAUAUCUCUUGAAAGAGCUUUAGGCACUAUUAAACACUUCACAAUUGUUGGGAAUGUAUUUUAUUUUUAUUUUCAGAAAUUAAAGAGAUCUUUAUUGAUAAAAGAUACCCUUUUUCAAAACAAUGCAGAGGUGGGCUAUGACCCCACAUGUAACUCUUAUCAUAAUUACCUGGAGAAGGAUCUAUCAGCUGUUUCAUAAUCCCUAUUGCUCAGAAAAAUUUUACAGUAAGCAGUAGCUCCUAUAAAGUCUGAAGAAACAUUUAAAAGAAAUUGAGAACAGAUCGAAGUGGUAUUAAAGAUAUCUUUAAAACGUAAGCCAACCCCAGUAUUUCAAUUUUUUGAGAGUAAUAAGGCCAUUUCAUCCACCUCUGCUCACCACCCAUGUGGCAUCCUAAAGCAUUCUAUAAGGCACUGAAAGACUGUUUGUAAAAGGGUUCAGAGAUCAGGUUUACCUAGCUGAUUCACUUUGGUCCUAAUGGUGGUCAACUGGUUACAGCUGAUUUCUACUCCUCCCUAAAGUCACUUAGAAAGACAUCCAAACAAUUACUGAGAACCAAAUGCACAUGGAAAUUGUCAUGCACAAUUUCCUAGGCUAUGAGCUCUGGCAUGUAUUUCAUGUAAACUAUAGAAAAUAUGCCCUGUGCUACUGGCUUAAAUUUGAAUGUCCCCUCCUGAGUUAAAUAGUGAAAAUCACCCUGGUUAUAUUCAGAGCCUCUUCUUUUUCUCAUCUCCAUCGUGGAUCUCUGACUGUUGGAACAUUUUCCAUGACCCAGUCCAACUGAACACUCAGAAGAAUCUGGAAAAUUGGGCUCCUUCCUUUGGAGUUUGCGUUCUCCUCCCCAAUUGGGUAGCUAUGAGCCAGUUCUACCCACACUCCCAACAUAUAGAUCAUGGCAAAUAAAGAGCAAGCCCCAGAGGAUUCAAACUACAUUCAAGUUUAGGCACUAUUAAAGUUCAGGAUAUUCAUGUUCAGGACACACCAUAAGUCCUUCCUGGCCUCUCCCUGCAUCUUAGGGAGGUCUUCAUUGUGCCUUACUCAACUUUAGUCUCCACUUUUGGUCCUACUUCCAUCUUUUGAACUUGAAGAUUUAUCUUAUUUCCCCAGGUACUCCAUCCCUAGGUGUACUCCAAAAUCUUUGGUUCAUAAUCACCAUCUGGCUUAUCUGCAGUCUCUGGAAACAAGCUAAUGAAAUAUCUCAAAACAACAACAAUAACAAUAACACAAUAAAUCUGGAUCUCAAUUUCAUUGAGACCUUAUUGCUUAUUUCUGUCCUCCAUCUACUGUGGCCCACUCUAUUUUCUAGCACCAAAGUCAUGAAGCUUUAACCCUGUGAAUAAUUCUCAGGAAACUUGUUCAUAAUUAAGUCCAUUGUUGGCAAGAGCUCACCCUAAAAAUGUGAAUUCAGGCACUAAAGCACUAGUCUUAAAAAAAAAAUUCUCAAAGUACAAACUGUCGAUAGUGUUGCCAUUUAAUUAUUGUACAGCUCUUCUGAUAUUGUCUAUAUAAGCUAAGAUACAAAUGUGAACAAUGUAGAAAACAAUAGAAAUUCACUUUUUAAAUUUUUCUUCUAUAAAUUUAAAUACAUGGUAAAGUUCCAAAGCUGUCACCAAUUUAGAAUUUGUAACCUGCCUAAGAUAACACAGCCAUCAGGUAGACCAAAUAGUACUUAAACUCAUGUCCUCCUAAUAUCAGGAGCUCUGGUUGAUCACUACAACUCUCCACUUCUGAUAAGGAAAAAGAGGCUAUCUACCUCACAAAAAGUGUUUCUCACCACUUCUUCGCCAACACUUAUUGUUGUGUGUAUUCUUAAUAGCUGCCACUCUGACUGGAGUGGUAGGACUGCAAAUUGGUGCAGACAAUCUGGAAAGCAGUAUGGAGAUUCCUUGGAAAACUUGGAAUGGAACCUCCAUUUGAGCCAGCUAUCCCACUCCUCGGUUUAUACCCAAAGGACUUAAAAACAGCAUACUACAGGGACACAGCCACAUCAAUGUUUAUAGCAGCACAAUUCGCCAUAGCUAAAUUAUGGAACCAACCCAGAUGCCCUUCAGUAGAUGAAUGGAUAGGGAAACUUUGGUAUAUAUACAUAAUGGAACAUUGCUCAGCACUAAAAGAGAGUAAAAUCAUGCAUUUGCAGGUAAAUGGAUGAAGUUGGAGAAUAUAAUGCUAAGUGAAGCAAGCCAAUCCCAGAAAAAUAAAGGCCAAAUGUUUUCUUUGAUAUGCAGACGCAUAAUGGCAAUUGUGGGAGGGUGGGGCAGGCAGGUCUUGGGAUGAAUGGAGGAACUUCAGAUAGAACAAAGGGAAGAGGGAAAGGAGGGGACAAGGGGGUAGGAAUGAUGGUGGAAUGAGUUAGAUAUCAUUACCCUAAGUAUAUGUAUAAGACAAUAAUGGUGUGAAAAUACAUUGUAUACAAUCAGUGUCUUGAAAAAUUGGGCUCUAUAUGUGUAAUAUGAAAUGAAUUGCAUUCUUCCAUCAUGUAUAACAAAUCAGAAUAAAUUUUUUAAAAAAGUAUUUCUCAUGAUUAAAAGAAACCAACUACAUGUCACUAAAAGACAUGAAGUAGCCAGGUACAGUGGCUCAUGCCUGUAAUCCCAGCAACUCAGGAGGCUGAGGCAGGAGAAUUCCAAGUUUGAGGUCAGUCUCAGCAACUUAGUAAGGCCCUCAGCAACUUUGAGAGACUCUGUCUCAAAAGUUAAAAAAAGAAAAAAAAAAGGCUAGGGAUAUGGCUCAGUGGUAAAAAACACCUUUGGGUUCAAUCACCAGUACCAAAAAAUAUAGAAAUAAAUAAAAAACUUAGAGGAAACUUAAAUGUAUAUUACCAUGUGAGAUAUAUAUAUAUAUAUAUAUUCAAUAUUUGAAUAUAUAUAUAUAUAUAUAUAUAUAUUCAAAUCAAUGACACUUGUGAUAGAUAAAAUUAUGGAGACAGUGAAAAAUAGUGAUUACCAAAGGAUGAUGGGGAGGAAGACAUGGUUAGAUAGAACACAGAGUAUUUUUAAGGCAGGAAGUCUAUUUUGAUAGUAUAAUAGUGGAUACAUGCCACACACUUGCCAAAACCAAUAGAAUUUGCAACACCAAGAGUGAAGACCAAUGUCAAUGAUGGGCUUGGGGUGAUAAUCAUGUGUCAACAUAGGCUCAUCUCUUGUAACUCCAUCUCUGAUAGAGAUGUUGAUAGUGACAGAGGCCAUGCAUAUAUAAGGCAGGGCCUUGAGGAAUCUCUGUAUUUUUGCUAAAUUUUGCAAAAGCACAAAUUAAAUUCACCUAAAAUGCUCUAAAAAAUAUGAUCUUUUUUUUUAAAUGGGAAAGGGCUUCCUCAAAGCACAGAUAUCACAGACUUUAUGUUACAUUGCCCCUUGCUUUAGUUUCCAUAUGGAGAACCCCAGGAUAUUGACAAGAGAACACAAACUUGAUAAAGUAAGCCAAUAGGAUACAAUACUAGAAAAACUCGAGGUGUCUUAGUGCAUCCUAAUUCAACCUCUAUUUCCCUGUGCCUUUCUUUCCUGUAAUCUAGCUCAUCAGCCUCCUGUUGUUUUGCCUUUUAUCUUCACACACAACCUCUAUAUCCAGAAAUAAAAAUGAAAAAAAUAUAAACUUUUUCAUGUCACUAUUACUAUUUACUGUCUCCAUUACCAUUUCUGUCAAAACUUUGAGGUAUAAGACAAUCAUUUACUAUGCUCAUAGAUUCUGUAUGUUAAUAACUCAGGCCCAGAGGAAUGGAUUAUCUCUCUUCGAUGAUGUCAGGAAUCUGAGCUGGGAAGACUUCAAAACAGAACUGACUCAACAUUUGGGGUCUGGAAUCACUUAGAGGCAUUUUCUCUCAUAUGUCCGGAUGUUGAUGCUGGCUAUGGGCUGGAACCUCACUAGCCUGUCGGCUUCAGCACCUAUGGAUGGUUCUCCAUUGCUCUGUCCAUGUGGGCUAGUUUGUCUUUCCUCAUGCAAUGGUAGCUAUGUUGCCCAAAAGAGCAAGAGGAGUGUAUGACACCUUUAUGAUCUGCCACUGGAAGUCACAUAGUAUCAUUUCUACUAUUUUCAAAUGAACACAAAGGUGUUCCCAUGUUCAAGAGGAAAGGACACAAGCUCAAACCACUGGAUGGGAGGGGUUUAAAGAUCAGGCUGUGAAAACAUGUGGGAUAGGAGAUACUGUUGCAGCCAUUUUGUAAAACAUCAUGUACCACAGUAUCUCUGGUUAUAUCUUAUUGUAUCUUAAAUAUCUGAGUCUGUAUGGCCUUUGAAUACUUCACUCUUAUUGUUUCAGAUUGUAAAACACAUGACGGCAGGGAAAUCCAUGUUGAGUUAACUUCCAUGAACUCUACCACAGCACCUUGUACUCAACAAUCAGAGUACAUAUUAUUGCUCGUGUGCAACUAAUGAUACAUGCCCUUGGGCAAUCAUUAUUUUUAUGAUACAACAUUUAUAACAUGAUACAUAAAAUCUCCAUAUUAUCCAAAAAGGCAUAUGGCAUUUUAUAAUUGCUGGGGAAAAAAGUACAUAGUUUCUUCUCCCAAGUGAAUACAGUCUUAUAAAACAAUAAAUGCAUUUCACCAUUGGAGGAGUGGAAAUAACUACCUUGAAGAAUUUUUUUUUUUUACUUUUUGUCCACAAUUAUUUUUAGUUUAACAGAUUAUUAAAAGACUUAUGUUGUAAUCUGUGUGAACCUUAACCAGGUGUGGGUUCUUCUGUGAAAUUAACUAAUGAAGGAAAUUGUUCCUUUUCAGUUGAUUUCAUAGGUGGCUUUGACUCUUAUGGCUACCAAGGGCCCCAGAAGACGUCUCACUUACAACUUCAGCCUAUGUACAUGUAAGUACCUUACUUUGGAGGUAUUUUUCUGGGAUACCAAAAAAUGGUCAAGAAAAUGUAUCAUGGCACAAAACAGAUGGCAUGAAGCUCUUCUUCAGUUAUGUAUUUUCACUAUUAAUAUUGUUUUGAAUAGAAUAAUUCUGAUAUUUUAUUUAUAUUUUUUUUAAAUUUACCUUAACAGAAAUGCCAUCUCUGCCAUUAGUCCUACAUAAAUAUCACCUACACGACUCAAAAUCCUGUAUAUUAUAUUCCAAGAAUUGAAUUACCACAAAGUUAUAUAUUCUGAAAAUGAUAUAACAUUGCACACUAUUGUAUAAAAACUAUAUAAAAACCAUAUUUUCUGCUUUUCCCAGGUUAGUCCCAGUUUACAUUGGUUGUCCUGGUAUAAUUAUCAGCUUUCCAUAUUUCUCUCAAAAGAGUUCUCAUUUAAAUGCUUAAUUAUAAUUCACCAUGGUUAUACAUAGUAUUCAAAAGGAAAUUUUAAAAACAGAGCAAUGCUCCUUCUCUAUCAUUUUUCUAAUGUGAAAGUGCAAAUGAAACUAGGACAAUAACACUGAAACUUAUCAAACCCUGAACUCUAGCACUCAAGAAAGCAGACAUAUAAUCAGAGCCUGAUUUUUAUAUCUGUGUUUAGGCAAAUUCCCUUGGAUAACAACUGAUAACAAAUUCUAUAUAUCAGCAUCAAGUGAUAUGCUGAAUUGCAAGCGAAGAUCAAAAUAGAAAGUAAGAUUCCAAUUCAUUUUAAAAUGUGAACUUCUCUCUUUGAAGAUAUGUGUUUGUUGUCCUUGUCCUCCACCAUUAAAUCAUUUACCUUUUAAUAUCUUUAGUGUAUAGGAUAAUCAAUGGAUUUCGGGGGGUAUUUCUCCUCCAAAGAGACUAAUCUGUAGACAAUCCUUUUAAGCUUCUCUUUAAAAAGAGAAUGAUCCAUGCAUUGUGCCUGCCUUUUUUUAUUUGUGUCCUGGUAGCUCUCUGCAAGCAUUUGCUAUCAUCACUUAUAGAAGAGACUUUAUUAGUUCAGAAGUUAGCGGAUACUAUAUGUCAUUCAAAGCAUUGCGUCUCUAAGCCUUUCUUUACACGCCCACCACCACUGCCCUAACUCCAGCUUCUUCCUUAUUUCAGAACCUCCAUCCCAUCCUCCACAUGGCCUGCCAAAUUAAUCUUCACAAAGUACUAUUCUGAGAAUUUCACCUCUCUGCCCAAAAGCCAUCAGUGACUCCCUGUUACCUACUGAACAGAAUCCAAACUUGCCAUAGCCUGCAAGUCUAACCUGACCUGGCCUCAAUAUUUUAUUUAAAUAUCUUCUCUUCAAGUGCUAAUAAUGUCUGAGUCCCAACCACCUGCAGAUGAUGCUGGGAGUUGGUAGGGGAAAUGUAAUAGUGAAUGAAAACUGGCCUAGCCUCCUUAUGCUUUGAAUCCAGUGAAUUCAUAAAUAGACUGGUAUCUUCCUUCAAGUCAUUUUUUCCCAACCAAAUUCAACUCUUGCCUUAUCCAAAAAAAAGGACACAGUUAUUUCCAAUUGUCCUACUGUUCUUUUGACACCAGAUAUUAUAAUUUUCCCCAAAUUUUGCUCUUUGAAACCUCGCUGUCUUUAAAUUUUAUUUUAAAAUAUACUUCCUAUAUAAAAUAUUUCUCAACAUUAUUUUCCUCUAAUACGCUCUCUUUUUUAUUUUUUUGCAAUAUACUCUUUAUACUGUAUCUACCCAAACCUCUCAGAAAAAUCUGAUAGCUACAACAAAAAAUAAAAUUAGGCCAGGUGAGGUUGUGUGUACCUGUGAUCCCAGAAACUUGAAAGGCUGAAACAGGGGUAUUGUAAAUUCAAGGCCAGCCUUGAAAUCUUAGAGAGACCCUGUCUCAAAAUAAAAAAUAAAAUGGACUAGGGAUGUUGCCCCAUGGAAAAGUACCCCUCCAUGAAAUUCCAAGAACAAAAAUACAAAAUUAUACAUCUUUUGAAUUAUUUGCCAUUCUUCUCAAUAUUUUAGAGUAAACAUCUGUAAGGUGUUCUAUUUUCAAAGGGCAAAGCAAUCAGGAGUAGUAUACUGCCUGAGAUUAAAUUCAUUGUAACCUUGAUCGUAUAACUUUGUUUGAAAAAACUUUAAUCUCACCAAGCCUAAGUUUCCUCACCUGAAAAAUAGAAAUGACAACACAUGUACUUCAUUUAAUUGUUCGGAAAUUAUAUGAAAAAAUCCAGGUAAAACAUAGAAGACAUAGGAUAUGUCUCAUAGUAAGUGCUUAAUAAACAGUAUUUAUUAACAGUGAAAAUAAUUCUUAUGUCAACCAACAUCAUCAUGAAAAGCCUUAUCAAGUCAUAAAUCUCAUUUCCCAAAGGAUAUCCUCUGUAUAUGACAUAUGACAUAUAAUAUUAGCUCAUGUAACAAAUAACAAUAUAUUUGAACUUAAAAGAGUAGAUCAAAUAUCUACAAGGCAUGCAAUUGCUUGAUAUUGACUAUAUUAUAUAACAUUGCAUUGUGUUAGUCAAUAUAAAUGAUCAGUAAAGAUCUCCAAGCCAUAAUAAAUUAGAUGUAACCACUCAUCUAACUUUAAGCUAUAAUAAUAACAUGAGAAGGCUAAUUAUGCAUAAUGCUAAUUAUAUAUAAUCAGCAUAUUGUUUCAAACCAGGCAUUUAUAAUUCUAAUGUUGAUAUUUAAACAGGGACUUUACAAAAAUGAAUAUCUUUGUCAAUGAUUAAAUUCCUUGAAGACAAAACUUCUCAUGAUUUUGUUAAAUAAAAUAGUUUAAAAGCCAAGUGGAAGUAAUAAAAAUACUGCCCAUGAAUAAUAAAAUUAUAUGAGACCCUUUAAAUUUUGUUGCUUAGGAACUAAUUUACAUGUUUAAUGGAAUUCAAAUCUAAGAAGUCAGGAAUACUUAAGGUACAUAAAAUAUUAAAGUCAAAAUCCUACUAUCACCCCUUCCACAAAGCAUCCCAUAGGAAACCUUAGAUCCUAGAAUACAAAGAUUUUAUUUUACAGGUGAGGAAACUGAAUCAAGAGAAAGGAAAACAACCGUCACACAACUUGUUGGUGGUACAGCCAGGAUUAUCAACCUCUUUUCCUAUCCCCUUAAUUCAGUCCUCAAUAAAUUUUAAGGUGGGCUGUGAGUUCGACUUCAUGUUACAUUCCCUGAUUUUAUUUUCUUGUUGGUGUAGCUUACACUGAUUUAACAGUCAUAUUUCCAUAAAAUUCUGUACCUUCCCCUUUCUGUACAUUCCCUCUAUUCCCUUUUGAUUUUACACUAUGCUAUGUUGAAUGAAGGGCCUUUUAAACUUUGUAACCCUCAAAACCAUUCAUCUGAGAGCGACUGCCUAUUCAAAUCCUGUGAAAAAUCAAAACUGAUUCACCUACAAACCUUCUUCCCUGCUGAGAGGCAGAGACCUGAGCAUCUCCUCUGUUUUUGUCAUUUGGAGUGUGCCUUCUCCUGUCAACUUGCCAUAAAUAUGUCUUGUAAAGUAAGAGUAAUUUAACAUCAUGGGCCAGUUCAUGCACCCUAACAAUAUUAUAGAGCAACUGGAAAUAAAAGCUGUUCUUUUGAAAGAAAGCAAAUGCUAAAAAGUAAUGUGAAGUUUUAGCUGUGGGAUUUUCAUUCUACCCCACAAACCUUCUAUGGCCAGGACCCUGGACAAAGCUGUGAAGUCACUGCCAAUACUGACUGCCGGUCACAGCCCUGUUUCAGUGCCCAUAGCCAAUGAAUGCACGGUCCUUGUUAUUUUGAGUUAGGUUUUGUAAAUGUUCUUGCUUUGCAAUUUUUCAGAUUAUCUAUAAUCCAUCUAAAAGGAAAGGUUUUUAUGUUUUCCCUUACAAUUUGAUAAAUCUCUUUGAAACCAAUUGGUAACUAUAUAACAAAAAGAAUUUCCAUGUCCACAGAUCAAUUUUCUAGCAAUGUAACUACAUGGAAUGCCACAGAAGCAAGCAUAGAUCUGAUCCUGCUUCCGCCCAGUGAGAUGAUCCUGUGGAGUAUUAGGCAGCAUGUGAAAACAGUGCAUUAUAUUGGGCAGCCCAAUUGUACAGUAAUACAUCUUCAUUUCAUUCGUCCCCAGAAAUAGAUUUUUGAAUGACCACAAGUGGGUCUCUCUAUCCAGGCAGUUGCACUAAGGAAAAAGAAAAGGAGAAGAAAUUUAUCUAUCUAAAAUCCAAUUUGGGCUUCUUCUCUUUUCUUUCCUUCUUUUUUGUUUGCACUUGUGCUUGGAGAGGUGAGAAAAGGUGGUGAGGGACAGGCAACUAGCACUCUCCCCUUUGAUUAAAAACAUCUUUUCUCUCUCUUAGGUCAAAAUAAUACAGAUGACUUCAGUUUGUCAGCCCAUGGACCUCUCAAAGAACUUAUUUCGCAAUGGCCUCCUGCAUUUGAUGAAGAGCAAGAAGCAGAUGAAUUUAAAUAUAUAUACAUAUUAACAGGACACACACACACACACACACACACAAAACCACGCACAAACCAAUUCCACUUGACCUCCUUUCUAAAUGAAACAGACAAAUAUGCAGGACACGCCCAUCCUGGAUUUCCUGAAAGCAGGCUCCUUUCUCCCAGGCCUUUAAAGUUCAAAAGGAGACGCGUUGGUGCCCCCUGCUGGCCAUUACUAACUCCUCGGCAGCCCAGCCAGUCAACCUCUGUGAGCUGCGAAGUCAUGGGGCACAUUAGUUUGAGAGCCCCGUUUUCUGCACUCCAUACAUCUUGAUAGCACCACAGCUACUUAGGCAAUGUAAUUGCAAAAAAGACAAACAAAAACAUGCCACGAUGACCUUGUAACCGAAGUUUGAAAUGGCAGGUCGUUUGCCCUAAAGGCUGUACCGUACAUACUUGCCUUAACCCACCUGCGUUGUGUGCCCGAGAAUCUCAGUGCAGACAUCCCUGAGUCAAUUCCUUUAGGCUAACACACUGCUAUUCAUUCCGAAUGAGUUCGAGUCUGUGUGUUUCGUGUCGAGAGACAAGACUGAAUAACUCAGCAGCUCCAGUGUGUCUGUGUAAGAAAACUGCCAGCUGUCAGCAAAGUGCAUUAUGUAACGUUGAGCCUCCCUGAUGGCCAAAAAGAGACAAGUACCAAUAACAACAACAAUAAUAGUCAUCUUUAUAAUUAUUAGGUAUGGUCUUCUGAUGGGGUUGGGGUGGGACAAAGUAAAAUUUAUUAAUCUACUAACUCAUUAAUCUAUUGGAAGCAGAAAGCAAAAAUGGCUUAACUCACUGAUUUUAUUUAUUGCACUCUAGGUGCUUUUAUAAGUAUCUACAAAUGUCUUUUACUAACACAGAAAACAGCUGUGGAUUUCUAUCAACCGAGGCCAACUGACUAUGUAUUAGCUAUGUUUACUCUUUUAUAUCUAAUUCAAACGGAAGACCUGAUGUAGGUGAACUUUCUUUUCUAACUUCGGCAUACAAGAUUAUUUUUUGGGUGGGUGGGGGGGAGCAAUAGUUACCUUGGUGAAAUAUUUGAGAUCUCAUUGUGGUAUUUGGGGGAUCUGUUGUGUGUUAGAGUGUAUUUCAAUCCUCCUGUAUUAUCGUGGCAGAAAAACUGUGCUGUUACGUAGUUGGCAAACAAGAUGCCUUUGGAAACUUAAUAGUAGGUCAAUGUGUCUAUGGAAUAUUCUGAACUCCUAGGAAAUUUUGUUUUAUAUUAUCAAGCAUUAUUUGGUUUUCAUUAGUGGAAAACAUAAUUAGCUCAGGCUUAUCAGUAACUCAGAUGAGUCAUGAUUUUCUCAGAUCCACUUGAGACACUAAAAUCAAAUUUUGUUGAACUAACACCAUCUUUAAAUACAGUGAAAUUCAGACUGGGAAAUUUAUAAAUUGUCAUGGAGCAACUUUUCUCUUUGAUUUUUAUGAAGUUUCAGUUAUUGGGUAAACCUCCUUUGGACCUUAGCUCAUUCAGAUAAAAAUGGUCCCAUAACUGUGUUGCAUGAAUGUUUGUAAUGUACACAGGCAUAUACAUUUGAAAAUAAUAAAGGAGCAAAAGUUUACCAUUGGAACAUAAACCACAAACAUACAUUCCAGCACAUGUGCUUGGAUUUUUCUCAGUGGCUUGCAUAUGUUUGUCCAUACGUACAUGUAUAAAAUAUACAAUUGCAAACAUGUCAGUGAAACCUCAUAUGAUGCUUUUAUAGUGACAUGCAUGUUUAAUGUACAAGAAAAAUAUUUACCAAUGUACUGUCUUUUGACUCCUAAAAUAUACAUACUAUAAAUGCCAGAAACUAUUCUAAUGUGACUAUUGAUGUAACUAUUAAAAUGAGGUUUCACUGUACAUGCAUGCUGUGAAGAGAUUCAACCUUGUAGUACAUGUAUAUGGAUACAGACAAUGAGCCCUCAUAUUCCCGUUUUAAGUUACAGCCAGCUUACCACCAAAUCACUACUAUCACCACCACCAAAAUUUUCAAAAACAGUUGUUGACUACUAAAAAUUAAUCAGUGGACAGGCCUUUUUUAGGAGCAGUAAGCACAGUGGUGUGAUUCUAUCUGGGAAAACAUCUAAGUUGUACAGCUGUAUCCUCCUCAAAAUCCGGUGAAGAAUGCUAUUUUUCUAGGCUGAGCUUUUGUUAUAAACCUAAUAUUCUGAAGGCAAGAGUUACAAUCCUGAUGUGUCUUUUUUUUUUCAUUUGUUAAUUCUGAAUGUAUUUUUAACAGAGUGAUUUUUUUGACUUACUA
This 28208-nucleotide long non-coding RNA is filed under the name Marmota monax (woodchuck). The stretch from base 10628 to 10696 matches the Rfam family "tRNA". The record is from RNAcentral. Lineage: Eukaryota; Metazoa; Chordata; Mammalia; Rodentia; Sciuridae.